GUACCGUGAGGGAAAGGCGAAAAGAACCCCGGCGAGGGGAGUGAAAAAGAACCUGAAACCGUGUACGUACAAGCAGUGGGAGCACAGAGCAAUCUGUGUGACUGCGUACCUUUUGUAUAAUGGGUCAGCGACUUAUAUUCUGUAGCAAGGUUAACCGAAUAGGGGAGCCGAAGGGAAACCGAGUCUUAACUGGGCGUUAAGUUGCAGGGUAUAGACCCGAAACCCGGUGAUCUAGCCAUGGGCAGGUUGAAGGUUGGGUAACACUAACUGGAGGACCGAACCGACUAAUGUUGAAAAAUUAGCGGAUGACUUGUGGCUGGGGGUGAAAGGCCAAUCAAACCGGGAGAUAGCUGGUUCUCCCCGAAAGCUAUUUAGGUAGCGCCUCGUGAAUUCAUCUCCGGGGGUAGAGCACUGUUUCGGCAAGGGGGUCAUCCCGA
RNAcentral lists this ribosomal RNA (437 nucleotides) under Escherichia coli. RNAcentral's name for it is "partial 23S ribosomal RNA". It matches the Rfam family "Bacterial large subunit ribosomal RNA", at positions 498 to 934 of the family's 2925-position model. Lineage: Bacteria; Pseudomonadati; Pseudomonadota; Gammaproteobacteria; Enterobacterales; Enterobacteriaceae. The record is from RNAcentral.